This 504-nucleotide ribosomal RNA is filed under the name uncultured bacterium. RNAcentral's name for it is "bacterial SSU rRNA". It matches the Rfam family "Bacterial small subunit ribosomal RNA", at positions 9 to 534 of the family's 1533-position model. The record is from RNAcentral.
GAGUUUGAUCCUGGCUCAGAACGAACGCUGGCGGCGUGGAUAAGACAUGCAAGUCGAACGAGAGAAUUGCUAGCUUGCUAAUAAUUCUCUAGUGGCGCACGGGUGAGUAACACGUGAGUAACCUGCCCCCGAGAGCGGGAUAGCCCUGGGAAACUGGGAUUAAUACCGCAUAGUAUCGAAAGAUUAAAGCAGCAAUGCGCUUGGGGAUGGGCUCGCGGCCUAUUAGUUAGUUGGUGAGGUAACGGCUCACCAAGGCGAUGACGGGUAGCCGGUCUGAGAGGAUGUCCGGCCACACUGGAACUGAGACACGGUCCAGACACCUACGGGUGGCAGCAGUCGAGAAUCAUUCACAAUGGGGGAAACCCUGAUGGUGCGACGCCGCGUGGGGGAAUGAAGGUCUUCGGAUUGUAAACCCCUGUCAUGUGGGAGCAAAUUAAAAAGAUAGUACCACAAGAGGAAGAGACGGCUAACUCUGUGCCAGCAGCCGCGGUAAUACAGAGGUCU